This 345-nucleotide ribosomal RNA is filed under the name Ripiphorus fasciatus. Its description in RNAcentral is "eukaryotic LSU rRNA". It matches the Rfam family "Eukaryotic large subunit ribosomal RNA", at positions 646 to 964 of the family's 3401-position model. Lineage: Eukaryota; Metazoa; Arthropoda; Insecta; Coleoptera; Ripiphoridae. The record is from RNAcentral.
GACCCGUCUUGAACCACGGAGUCUAGCAUGUACGCAAGUCAUUGGGAAAUAAUUAAACCUAAAGGCGUAGUGAAAGUAAAGGUUUGCCUCGUGCUUACCGAGGGAGGAUGAGUAUAACUAAGGUUAUUGCUCCGCACUCCCGGGGCGUUUCAUUCUCAUUGCGAGAAGAGGCGCACCUAGAGCGUACACGCUGGGACCCGAAAGAUGGUGAACUAUGCCUGGUCAGGACGAAGUCAGGGGAAACCCUGAUGGAGGUCCGUAGCAAUUCUGACGUGCAAAUCGAUUGUCGGAACUGGGUAUAGGGGCGAAAGACUAAUCGACCAUCUAGUAGCUGGUUCCUUCCGA